CAGCAGCCACGGGAAUACGUAGGGUGCGAGCGUUAAUCGGAAUUACUGGGCGUAAAGCGUGCGCAGGCGGUUAUAUAAGACAGAUGUGAAAUCCCCGGGCUCAACCUGGGACCUGCAUUUGUGACUGUAUAGCUAGAGUACGGUAGAGGGGGAUGGAAUUCCGCGUGUAGCAGUGAAAUGCGUAGAUAUGCGGAGGAACACCGAUGGCGAAGGCAAUCCCCUGGGCCAACACUGACGCUCAUGCACGAAAGCGUGGGGAGCAAACAGGAUUAGAUACCCCUGUAGUCCCUGUCUCUUAUAC
Molecule: ribosomal RNA, 301 nt
Filed under: uncultured bacterium
Lineage: Bacteria
Description: partial 16S ribosomal RNA
Rfam family: Bacterial small subunit ribosomal RNA
Source: RNAcentral